This 85-nucleotide transfer RNA is filed under the name Felis catus (domestic cat). It matches the Rfam family "tRNA". From Rfam's summary of the family: Transfer RNA (tRNA) molecules are approximately 80 nucleotides in length. Lineage: Eukaryota; Metazoa; Chordata; Mammalia; Carnivora; Felidae. The record is from Rfam by way of RNAcentral.
ACCUGGAUGGCUCAGUUGGUUGAGUGCCUGACUUUGGCUCAGGUCAUGAUCUCACAGGUCGUGGGUUUGAGUCCUGCAUCAGGCU